ACACUUACCUGGCAGGAGAGCUACCGUGACCACGAAGAUCGUUUGCCCGGGGCAGGCUGAUCCACUGCACUAUGGACGUGCUGCCUCCUGCGAUUUCCCCUAAUGUGGGAAACUCCACUGCAUACUUUGCAGUAGUGGGGGACUGUGUUCCUGCAUGCAUGAA
Molecule: small nuclear RNA, 163 nt
Organism: Myotis myotis
Lineage: Eukaryota; Metazoa; Chordata; Mammalia; Chiroptera; Vespertilionidae
Product: U1 spliceosomal RNA
Exons: 1
Source: RefSeq, a predicted model, not a curated record